GAUGAACGCUGGCGGCGUGCCUAAUACAUGCAAGUCGAGCGAACAGAUGAGGAGCUUGCUCCUCUGACGUUAGCGGCGGACGGGUGAGUAACACGUGGAUAACCUACCUAUAAGACUGGGAGAACUUCGGGAAACCGGAGCUAAUACCGGAGAAUAUAUCGAACCGCAUGGUUCAAUAGUGAAAGACGGUUUUGCUGUCACUUAUAGAUGGAUCCGCGCCGCAUUAGCUAGUUGGUAAGGUAACGGCUUACCAAGGCAACGAUGCGUAGCCGACCUGAGAGGGUGAUCAGCCACACUGGAACUGAGACACGGUCCAGACUCCUACGGGAGGCAGCAGUAGGGAAUAUUGCGCAAUGGGCGAAAGCCUGAUGGAGCCAUGCCGCGUGAGUGAUGAAGGUCUUCGGAUUGUAAAACUCUGUUAUUAGGGAAGAAAAAAUGUGGAUGUAACCCUGGCCGUCUUGACGGUACCUAAAGAGAAAGCACCGGCUAACUUCGUG
RNAcentral lists this ribosomal RNA (497 nucleotides) under uncultured bacterium. RNAcentral's name for it is "partial 16S ribosomal RNA". It matches the Rfam family "Bacterial small subunit ribosomal RNA", at positions 28 to 507 of the family's 1533-position model. The record is from RNAcentral.